Molecule: transfer RNA, 74 nt
Filed under: Mediodactylus russowii
Lineage: Eukaryota; Metazoa; Chordata; Lepidosauria; Squamata; Gekkonidae
Description: tRNA-Asn
Rfam family: tRNA
About the family: Transfer RNA (tRNA) molecules are approximately 80 nucleotides in length. Their secondary structure includes four short double-helical elements and three loops (D, anti-codon, and T loops).
Source: RNAcentral
UAGACUGAAGCCCGCUGGCUAGGGUGUUUAGUUGUUAAUUAAUAUUUCGCGGGAUCAAGGCCCGUCGGUCUAGC